UUCGUAGGCGGAAUAUUAAGUCAGUGGUGAAUCUUGCCGCUUAACGGUAAAAUUGCCAUUGAUACUGAAGUUCUUGAAUAUGGUUGAGGUAGGCGGAAUGUGUUGUGUAGCGGUGAAAUGCAUAGAUAUGACACAGAACGCCGAUUGCGAAGGCAGCUUACUAAGCCAUUAUUGACGCUGAGGCACGAAAGCGUGGGGAGCGAACAGGAUUAGAUACCCUGGUAGUCC
RNAcentral lists this ribosomal RNA (228 nucleotides) under uncultured bacterium. RNAcentral describes it as "partial 16S ribosomal RNA". It matches the Rfam family "Bacterial small subunit ribosomal RNA", at positions 568 to 796 of the family's 1533-position model. The record is from RNAcentral.